Molecule: long non-coding RNA, 1367 nt
Organism: Protobothrops mucrosquamatus (brown spotted pit viper)
Lineage: Eukaryota; Metazoa; Chordata; Lepidosauria; Squamata; Viperidae
Exons: 2
Source: RefSeq, a predicted model, not a curated record
AAGUAUUUUAUUUAGAUAACAUUUGUCACAGAUAUGGUACAAUAUUACAAGUUUAGUAUAUAAUACAAGAGAGACCAUUACAAACUUUACACUUCAUUACAAGAAUCUUUGGAUUUUAGCAUCUUUUAAAAAGGUACAAGCAACAAUAUUUCUGAAAACCAGUCUCAACAUUUGUUCUUUAUAUACAGGCUCCCAACAUUUACAAAAUGACAAAUUAACAGAAAAGACAAUUGAGAAACAGCUCCUCAAAAACAGGAAGUUAGUGUCCAGGCAAUGAAAUGCUUUGGGUAGCCUAGUGGGUAGAGUUGCUUGGAAGGUGAACUUGCUCUCUAAAUACAAGCUCAUCUUCUUUUUGUAGGUCUUUCAGGAUACCUUACCUGUGAACUUUAAUUAGACCAGGGGUCCUGCAAAUACUGUCAUGCUGAAUAGAGUUCCAUGUGGCUUUUGGCCUCAGUAAAAAUGUCUUUCAAAUGCUGAUACAAAUUAUUAUUAGUUUAUCCCACUUUUCUGCCCAAAAGAAAGGCAUUGUGACAGUGAAAAGGAAUGAAGAACCGUAAAGAGAUGUUGCAUCUGCCAUGAAGAAUCUUUUCUCUCAAUUUUCAAGCAGAGCCUACAGACAGGAUUAUGCCUUAGAAUCAUACAGGAUGCUACAUUCCACUGAGUGCCAAUUGUCAUUAUUAAACACUGCCUAGCAUGUAACAGUGCCAGAUCAAUGGAUGCAAUACAUUAAUCGGCAGCAAUCCAGAUUAUGAAAAAUGUGUGCUAAUAUAAAAGGAAGACUUAUGUAAAAGAGAAUUAUAUAAUUUUUAUAUUGAUUAAUUUAAAUUUCAUUUUGCCUUGAAGUAAGUGACAAGCAGCCUGUUCGAUAAAGAUCUGAUAGAGGGUUUCCAUUGGCACCCAGUGAACUUUGGGGCUAAAUGAGAAUUUGAAUUUGGAUCCUAAGAAUAUUUAAGUGACAAUUCCAUAUUAUCUCAACAUAAGAUUUUUGUAUAUUGUCAGGGCAAUUUCCAAACAGAGCCAUUAUCCUAGUUUCACUAGAAGAAACUGUUCCAACUGCAUGGCUGACCUACUAAUGUUGCUCAUCACGUGAUAUGGUCAAUCUCUGCUCUGACAUUUUACAGACAGACUGAAAUAACAUAGCUUCUUUAUGAAGACUCUAUGGUGCACAUGCAUAUUUUUCAACAAUUUCUAGUCUUCAAAUCUUUUCCACAAAGGUACAAACUUUAACAAAGGAAGAUGAUGGCAACCAAAACAUACAGAAUGGGAUACUGAACCAUACACAUUGAAAAAAACCAAGCUUGCUGUAUAGAAUCAAUUGUCAUGCAAAAUGAGGGAGGUAGUAGGCACAUGGGAAGAAUAAUGGUCAA